CAAUAGCGUAUAUUAAAGUUGUUGCAGUUAAAAAGCUCGUAGUUGGAUUUCGGGGUGGCCUGGCUGGUCCGCCGCAAGGUGAGUACUGGCCAGCCGCCCUUCCUCUCGAAAGCCCCGACUGCUCUUUACUGCAGUGGUCGGGUAGUUCGGGACGUUUACUUUGAAAAAAUUAGAGUGUUCAAGGCAGGCUAUCGCCUGAAUACAUUAGCAUGGAAUAAUGGAAGAGGACCUCGGUCCUAUUUUGUUGGUUUCUAGGGCCGAAGUAAUGAUUAAGAGGGACAGUUGGGGGCAUUCGUAUUUAAUUGUCAGAGGUGAAAUUCUUGGAUUUAUGAAAGACGAACUAGUGCGAAAGCAUUUGCCAAGGAUGUUUUCAUUAA
RNAcentral lists this ribosomal RNA (377 nucleotides) under uncultured eukaryote. RNAcentral describes it as "partial 18S ribosomal RNA". It matches the Rfam family "Eukaryotic small subunit ribosomal RNA", at positions 592 to 976 of the family's 1831-position model. The record is from RNAcentral.